UCCCAGAAGUGGCCCACAUCUCUACAGCCAGAUACGGUAAAGAUGAAUUGGCCCAGUGCUUUACAGUCUUAACAAAACUGCAUGUGCCAGAGUGAGCCGCGGGCCACACUCGGCCCGGUUAACAAAUGCCAAUGCCGAUUCUGAGCCACAGGCUCCACGGAGCGAUUACUACAUGCUAUCUGGGUAGUUAUAUGUGAUAACAAUGUAUAUUGGGCAGUGAAAUAACUAUUGGUUUCGUUUGUGGUGACUGCUGACUGACAUAAGGGAUGAGAUUAAAUAGAUCCUGGAAUUUAGCCUGGUAUCCCUUAUCCUAGUUUUGUGCAAUAGGCCCCAGGUUAUUUCUUUUUCUUGUUUAUGGAUGUGUUUUGACCUUGGCCUAUAUAAUGGACUAUGUUUAUGGAUUACCUCUGGUUUUGUAGAUUUCCUUCGAUAUUGCGUUUUGGAUCUGCAUUCGUGUCUGGCCUGCCGAUAACAGGCUGGAACUCCACUCUACUAGUGAUGUUACGCACAUGCUCGAUUUGCAAUUUAAAAGGAGCCAUUUGGGCCAAGGUGUCACAUGCACAUGUGUGGACCUCUGAUGGCAGAAAAAAAACUCUUGGAAAUCCUCUGCGACCAACUGGAGGCAAUCCUGCCCCUCAGAUACACCAAUGACCUGGAUCUCUUCAGAAACUGGUUUGGCAUCAAGAAUCUAUAUUUAAUGGAAUAACAUAAAUGAAAUAGAUUACACUAACUGUUACAAAUAUCCACAAAUAAAAUUACAGUUGAACUUG
This is a non-coding RNA of Misgurnus anguillicaudatus (oriental weatherfish), 770 nucleotides long. The record is from RefSeq and is a predicted model, not a curated record. NCBI's taxonomy places the organism in Eukaryota, Metazoa, Chordata, Actinopteri, Cypriniformes, Cobitidae.